Molecule: long non-coding RNA, 7296 nt
Filed under: Malus domestica (apple)
Lineage: Eukaryota; Viridiplantae; Streptophyta; Magnoliopsida; Rosales; Rosaceae
Description: long non-coding RNA (MDOM_LNC000706)
Source: RNAcentral
UGCAUAUGUAUGAAUUGGUGCGGUGGACGCACAGGUAAGAAUUGAUUUAUGAUGCAUAUGUAUGAAAUGGUGCGGUGGACGCACAGAUGAGUAUUUAAUUACUGUUAUGAUGAUGAUGAUAUAUAUUGAGCUCAAAUCCUGCACCAUGGUUUAGUGCUUAUAGUAUUCACCGCAUCGCACGCUCGCCUUGGAUCCAAGUAGAUGCUAGUCGUACAGUCCACGUGGAGUGGGUACGACAGACCAGUCGCGAGAGUGUUAGUGAGAUUCCGACUGGUGGGUGACCUUAGAUUAUGUGCACAGAUGAUUUAUGAGAAGCACUAGAGCGUAACUUGUGUGCAGAAGGCCGGACGGGUCACAGAGGUGACUCCGGUAGAGUGAUAAUGAUAGAUUUUGAGCUCUAGGUUCAACCGUAUAGGGCUAUUAGAGGGCCUACGGUUGAUUACUUUCUUGCACCUGAUAUGAUUAUGUUGAUGCAUUCAUACCUUAUUACUGUUGAGAUGAUGUGGCAUGGCAUAAUUAAUAUGAGAAAUGUUGAGAUGACAUGGCAUGGCAUGAUUGAUAAAGAGAUAAUGUUGAGAUAGUAAAAAUGAAGUUUUGAGAAUAUAUAUGUAUAUUUAUAUUUUACAUUUCUGGGAAAGUAUACAGGUUUUACGGAGAGGGGUUACAACGUUUUGAGAAAUGUUUGGAUUUGGAAAAGAAUUGUUUUACUGACCCACUCAAUUUUGGUUUUGCGCCCCUCCAGGUUCAGGAAUCACAAAGGUGUGGUGACUACGAGGAAUUCGACGGUGUUCUGACAGAUUGGACAAAAUUAGGACUCACCUUCGGGUGUAUCAAUUUAAAUUGUAUCUUAAAGCUUCCGUACUGUGCAAAUGGUUACGUCACUCUCACGUGACGGCCAGCAUGCCCUCCUUCGGGACGAGGUGUGUCAGUUGGUAUCAGAGCAUGGUUGCAAUCUUGGACAUCUUGAGAAGUUUCUAGUGAAUUCUGUCAGAACUACACCGCCUCGUAGCAAACCACGUAGUUAGAGGAACUUAGUCUCCCUGAUUUAGCGGGUUAGGGGAAACUAUUCUUAUGGUGAUUCAGUAUAUUAGAAAAAUGGACAUUUUAAGACGGGUUAUGAGUUGAAUUUGAAUCACUUAAGAGAAAUGAUGAACCUGAGGGAGCGGAGUGACGGUUUAACCAAUUGGAAAAGAUGUUUCAGAUUAUGCAAGUCAAAGGAAAUUUCCUUCUGACAGGUGGGUCGAGACGACUACCUGGUUUUGGUUAUGAAUUUGUAUCCUGGUGGAAACAGGAGUAUGAAUUGUUGUCACCAGAGGAAUCAGUCGAUUGAGAAUUGUUUAAGGACUUGUUUAAAGGAAAAGUUUAUCCCUCCGGCAUUUAUCGAUGGUAGUAAACAAGAGUUUACAAAUAUGAGACAAGGAAGGUGAUGAUCGAGGGAUAUUAUAGAAAGUUUUCAGACUUGCCUCGUUCCAUCCAGAUAUUGUUGUUAAUUUGGUGGAGGUGUUAUGUUGUUUUAAGCUGGGUGGCAAAAAGGGAAGUGGUAUUUUGGGUGACCACUAUCCAUUGUAGUUCUUAUCAGGAGUAUGCUAGAUGUUGUUGAAUCUUGAGGACUCUGAGAACAUGAGCAACGAGAAUAAAGAAGAAUAAGAAAUGAAUGGGAAUUAAAAGAAGACGAUAAAGUUAAUGAUUCGUCAUAUCAAGGAUAUAGAAAGAUUUAGAGCUUCGAAAGAAGUGAAGCUAGAGUUAAUUCUUCUAGCUGAGGUUUUAAUGUCGCUGGUCAGAAUAAAAGUGAUGGAUAUACUGGUAAUCCCAGAUAUUUGAGACAAGGUGUCUCGAGUAAAGGAAAUGUACCUUGUGCUGCAGGUACAAAAAAUUAACACUUUGGGAAGUGUGAAAUUAAUGAAUGUGUUUAUGUGAACAGAGGGGACACAGAAUUGUGAAUCGUCCCUAGAAUCAGUUGUACUCAAUAAUUUUCCAUGAUAUCAUAGUGUCGAUUCAGAAGAGUUAUAAACUUAGUAGUUUGGUCGGAUUGACUGUGAGUACAGAGAGAGAUUUUGAUGAGUUAUAUGUUCAGCUGUACAGACCAUGAGAAGUGGAUUCGACUGACACAUGCGAAAUUUGUGAGUUAUAGGCUCGGCCGUACCGACCACGCGGAGUGGAUCCGGCCGACGUAUUAUUGAGAUAAGAGUUGAAUCAGUCGUAUUGAUCAUUCUAGUUGACUUCGGCUGAUAUAUUUCUUAUUAUGUAUGUUAUUACCUUGAGAGUAGUAAAUAAAUGUAGUUGAGAUGAGUGUAUGUAUUUUGCAUUGAGUGACAAAAUAGUAAUGUUAUAUCUUUGAGAGUGGUUGCCUACUUAUCGAGACAACGAUGAUUUAUCAGUAUUGCGGGCUGCAGACCGUAAUAUUAAUAACUCAUUCGUGGAUUCGUUAAGUAAGUAAACCGGUAGAUUAUUUUGUACUUAUUCAGAAUGCUUAGUAGUAAUAGAGUAUGUAUUGUGUCGGUUAAAUUAUUUCCAUUAGAUUGGUUGGUUAUAAUUGUGACAAGACGGAAUGUUAAGGGAAACCAGUACUUUCCAUCGAUCUGGAUGACCAGAGAUUACUUUUGUAAGUAUGCAAAGUGAAGUGAGUUCAGCCAUUAUUUAUGCUGUGAAAGCAAAGAGAUUGUUUUGAAAGGCUGUCAAAAAAAUACUUAGCUCAUGUGGUGCUAAAUGAUGUUGUUUGGAGUAGUGUGAAUAAUGUCGAAAGGGUUAGACUUUUCUUGAUGUCUUCUCUGAAAGUAUACCUGGAUUGUCUUCAGGCAGAGAUAUGAGGUUCAUUAUUGAUUUGUUGCCAGGUAUAAAUUUAUGUUAAAGAUUGGUUCAUGAUGAGUUAAGGGAAUUGGAAAUUCAGUUGAGAGAAUUGGUUGAUAAAAGUUUUAUUCAACCUAGUACAACACUUUUGAGGAGCCCCAGUUUGUUGGUGAGGAAGAAAAUGGAUCUUGAGACUGUUCAUUGAUUAUAGACAAUGGAGUCGGGUAACGAUUGAGAACCGUUAUCCAUGGUGAUGUACUGAUGUUUAUUUAACCAGCUCAGAAGUAAUUGCGAAGAUUCAAAGAUUGAAUUGAGAUCUGGUUACUACCAAUUGAAUAUUAUAAGUGACGUUGAUCAUAAGAUGGUUUCUGGACUUGUUAUGGUCCUUAUAAAGUUUGGUGAUGCUAUGUGGAUACUCAUGCGGUUUUAUGAGUUAUUGGAUGAAGUAUUCCAAUAAUGCCUUGAUAAAUAGAUAUCAUUUUCAUUGAAGAUAUUCUGGUAUACUCUAAGCCUAGAGCAGAGCAUGUAAACGUAUUAAGUCGGUGAAGCAAAGAUUAAGAGAACGUUGGUUGUAUGCUAAGUUUAGCAAAUGCGAAUGUUGGAUGAAUCAAGUGGCAUUCUGAGAUUGGUUAUAUCUGCUUAAGGUAUUCAAAUGAAUUCUUAAAAGGCAGCAGAAUUGAGAAAUUGGAACAACCACGAGUCGUAAUUGAGAUUUGGAAUUUCUUAGCUUACCAGGCUAUCUUGGAUGGUUGUGAAAGAUUUUUCAGUCAUUGCUUUGUCAUUGACGAGACUGUUGAGAAAAGAGGUUAGGUAUGAGUGGGAAGGAAUUGUAAGCAAAGGAUUCAACAACUGAAGUAUUUCCUCCCUCAUGCACGUAUUUUGGUAUUCCCAGAGAAUAGUGGUAAUCAUAAAUUUUUGGUGAUGUUACAUUAAAUGUUCUUGGAUAUGUACUAAUGCAAAUGUUAGGGUGAUUGCAUACGUUUCACGACAAAUGGAAUCUCAUGAGAUGAAUUACCCUACUAGUGAUUUGGAAGUCACGAUUACCAUCCUUGCUGUGAAGUUAUGGAGACAUUAUAUUUUAGUGAGAAUGCAAGAUUUUACAAAUCAAAAGAGUCUUCAAUAUCCAUUACUUGGAAGGAUUUUGAUAUGAGGCAGCGAAAGUGAAUUGUAUUGCUUAAUGAACAUGAUUGUACGAUCAGGGUGAUCGUAAAGUUUGUUCUAGCUGAAGCACUUGAUAAGAAGACUGCAGUAAGAAUUAAUAUCUAGUACGUUUGCCAAGAGUAUCAUUUUGUGGAUUGAAAACCAACGGAAGAAAAAUUAAGAAUGGAAGAUCGAGAAGAAGUUAUACUUGUUAAGUAACAAGUUAGUACAUUUACCCCAGUGUUGAGUAACAACCUUUCCCAGACAGUGCAACACUACUUAUUUGUUUUAUGGAAAAGAGAAUUGGAUUACGGAACUGCUAAGUUUCUUAAGUAUGUUGGUUGUGCAGUUUCCGAAGUAACGCCAUAAGGACCAUGAAAUGUGUCACGUGAGUCGGUUUUUGAUGACUUGUGAAUGGAAUGUUUCUGGGUAGAGAAAGAUUCGAUCGAGAAAGAGUUUUAGUAGACCCUGAGACUAUGGAUGAGUCUCCUCAAAGUAUUCAGGUGAUUAAGUUAACCUGAAGUAACCAGGAAUGGCAAAAGAGAUCAACAGAUGGAUAUGCCACUAAUCGAGUGUGUAAGGUAAAUGGUUUGAUAUUUUUGGAAAAUUCACCACGAACAGAAAUGAAGAGAAUUGGAAAAGAGACAAGAUAAGAUUUAAACACAUCAGACCGUUUUGAUCAUUAAAAGAAUCAAUGAAGUUGCAUAUAAGUUUGUGAUGCCUUUCAAAAUUGGCUAAGGUGCAUAAUGCAUUAUAUUUCGAUGCGUUGUUGUCACUAGGUGGCAGAUUCGUCACAUGGGAUUCUGGUGCUGCAACUAUUUAGAAUUCAAUUGGAUUCGACUUGAUAAGGAACCAAGGACUACUUUGGAUUGGGAAAAGAAGGUCCUGAGAAUUAAGACAGAGUAAGUGGUAAAAGCUUUGUGAAGGAAAUCAUUCAGUAGAAAAUUAUGUGGGAGAAAGAGAAACGGAUGAGAGAGAUUUACCCGAAGCUAUUGUUGGAGUAUGGUUGAUUUAGUUGAUUGCUGGAAUUUCGGGGACGAAAUUCUAUAAGGAGGGAAGAUUGUCACAGCCCGUCCUGGAAUUUUAAUUCCGAGGACGUGAGAUGACCAAUGUGACCUUAAACGGGAUUAAGGUGUGUAAAUGUAUGACAUUUGUUUUACUUUAAGAUCCUAACUAGGGUUAGAUUUAUAUUUGUAUGUGUUAAUUUGUGCUUGGACUUAGGUAGGGCCUCCUACCCUGAAUUCCCUCCCUAAAACCCGUAACCUUUCUUCUCUCUUCUUCUUUCAUUCCAGACUCUCUCAUUCUCUCUCUUACUCUCGAACUCACGGCAACCACCAAGAACCACCACAAUCUUGUACCAACGUUCCAUUUAAGACCACCAUCGUGAUCCUGGGGACUUCACGAGCACGGGGAUACCAAUUUUCAGGUGAGUUUCACUUCGAAAACCCUAGUUUCUAAAAGUUGCCGUGAGAUGACACUGUUCAUGAGCUUUGAAUUGGUUACGUUUUAGGCUAAAACAAGAUCACAGCGAGUUUAGUAAGGUCCCAAGGAAGCUCGGAGUGCUUCGUUGGAAGUUUUUGGACGUAAGAACACGGAGAUCGACAAGUUCAAAGUUUGGCCGGAGCUUUCGAGGCGUUUUCCGGAGAAUCCCCGGCGAGUUAGGAGUCGAGGUAGGUAUCAAUCUCUUCGUCUCGUCAAGUACUACAACUUUCCUUUUUGUUUCACUCAAUUUCGUUGAGUAUUGAAGAAGUUAUACUCAUUUGAAAAAUACCCAGUUUCCGGCGACCUCCGAGGUUUUCGAGGCAGUUUCCGGCCAAACCACGGAGAACUAGGUGUUGUGCAAGGUACCAUUAUCUUUUUCUCUUCAAGGGCUACAACUUUCGUUUUUGAAUCACUUGAUUUCGUUGAGAAAUGACAAAGUUAUGGCAAUUUGAAAAACUGCCCGGAAAACGGCCGCCGGAAAAACCAGUCCGGCGACCCAAGGAAGAAGAAGGUGCUACAGUAAAAAUAAAAAAUAAAAAUAAAAUAAAAUAUAUUUUAAAAAUAUGUCGACGUCCGUGACGUCGAGUAGAUCACUGUGGUAUAUUCAUAUACCUACCUAAUUGAACACCGUAUGAGAAAGUUAUUGAAGAUUGUUGGUUAGGUGUUCAAAUAACGUUUUAUAGUUUUCACAUUUAGGUGAAAAUGUGAAUUGAUGAUCCGACCGUUGGAUCAUCACCAAACUUUGAUACGUUAUAGUACGUAAUAUUUGAGGAUUAUUGGAACUUACGGAUUGGGAAUCCGAGUUACGGAUCUUCUGGAAUUGGAAUUUUAAGUCCAUAAUAUAAAAUGUUAACCGUCACUUUAGUUUUGGAAAUUGACGGAAAUCCAACCGUUGGAUGGUAAUGAAAUUUUAGGAUGUUGUCCUAGAGGUAUAAUGUGGACCUCUGGAAGUUAUGGAUUUAAAAUCUGAGUGGCAGAUCUUCCGGAUCGAACUACGUAGUGACGUAUUUUAUAUAAGUUAAAUAUUCUAUCGAUAUGAAUUCUGAGGUUGGAUUUGAUUACUAUUCUAGGCGGCGCGAUCGUCGUGACGCCUUGAUGUGUGGGUGCUAGGGAGUUGUUGGAUGAACUCCAGGUGAGUGGGCAGUUUUGUCUUCCGUAUAUAUAUAUAUACUUAACGUUUUCCAGAAAUUGAAAAUGCAUGAAAUUAUGUUUAAAAUGAAAUGCAUAUGAGUUAUGUGGAAAAACGGGAAGUGAAAUACCAUGCAUAGAAUUGAUAUGAAAAGUAUAUAGAAAUGUGAGUUGAAAAUGCCAUGCAUGAAUUAAUAUAUGAUGCAUAUGUAUGAAUUGGUGCGGUGGACGCACAGGUAAGAAUUGAUUUAUGAUGCAUAUGUAUGAAAUGGUGGCGGUGGACGCACAGAUGAGUAUUUAAUUACUGUUAUGAUGAUGAUGAUAUAUAUUGAGCUCAAAUCCUGCACCAUGGUUUAGUGCUUAUAGUAUUCACCGCAUCGCACGCUCGCCUUGGAUCCAAGUAGAUGCUAGUCGUACAGUCCACGCGGAGUGGGUACGACAGACCAGUCGCGAGAGUGUUAGUGAGAUUCCGACUGGUGGGUGACCUUAGAUUAUGUGCACAGAUGAUUUAUGAGAAGCACUAGAGCGUAACUUGUGUGCAGAAGGCCGGACGGGUCACAGAGGUGACUCCGGUAGAGUGAUAAUGAUAGAUUUUGAGCUCUAGGUUCAACCGUUAUAGGGCUAUUAGAGGGGCCUACGGUUGAUUACUUUCUUGCACCUGAUAUGAUUAUGUUGAUGCAUUCAUACCUUAUUACUGUUGAGAUGAUGUGGCAUGGCAUAAUUAAUAUGAGAAAUGUUGAGAUGACAUGGCAUGGCAUG